RNAcentral lists this ribosomal RNA (386 nucleotides) under uncultured bacterium. Its description in RNAcentral is "partial 16S ribosomal RNA". It matches the Rfam family "Bacterial small subunit ribosomal RNA", at positions 523 to 918 of the family's 1533-position model. The record is from RNAcentral.
AUACGUAGGGGGCGAGCGUUAUCCGGAUUUAUUGGGCGUAAAGCGUGUGUAGGCGGUUUGUUAAGUUUAAGAUUAAAGCCCGAGGCUUAACCUCGGUUCGUCUUAAAAACUGGCAGACUUGAGUGCAGUAGAGGCAAGUGGAAUUUCUAGUGUAGCGGUUAAAUGCGUAGAUAUUAGAAGGAACACCAGUGGCGAAGGCGGCUUGCUGGGCUGUUACUGACGCUGAGACACGAAAGCGUGGGGAGCAAAUAGGAUUAGAUACCCUAGUAGUCCACGCCGUAAACGAUGAGUACUAAGUGUCGGGUAACCGGUGCUGAAGUUAACACAUUAAGUACUCCGCCUGAGUAGUACGGUCGCAAGGCUGAAACUCAAAUGAAUGGACGGGG